ACAGUUUGGAGUUCGGGAGAUUGGUGAUUGCAGUAGCUGCUGGUCUAUGGGAAAGGGGAUUAUCGCCUUAACGUUUUUAACCCCUUUUGGGCAAAACGGUCUGUUACAAUUGGUGGCAAGCGACGGGAUCAUUUCCACAGCCCAAAUUUAGGGCAACGCCAGUACCCGUACAGCGACCCUAUCUACAAAAGAACCAACUUCAGCAGCGCAAGCAUGGCACCCAGCUACACUCAGGAGCAGUAUGACAGAGAGUUUACCAUGCGGCUGGCUUUCUUUGGACCCAACCCCCCGGAGAAAUACAUGCAGUUCGUAAGGAGCCAGGUAGACGAGUACCUGCAGUUCAUGGCAGAUCCAGCCAAAGGUAUCGGCCGCCCUAUCCGGUGGCAGAGUGCGUUACGGGGACUCAAAGGUGUACCCCAGGGAGCUGAAGGUGUCGUCCUUCCUCCCCAGCGGCAGAGUAAGUCCCAGG
Molecule: non-coding RNA, 469 nt
Organism: Pelobates cultripes (western spadefoot toad)
Lineage: Eukaryota; Metazoa; Chordata; Amphibia; Anura; Pelobatidae
Source: the annotation of a GenBank genome assembly